Molecule: ribosomal RNA, 347 nt
Filed under: uncultured Helicobacter sp.
Lineage: Bacteria; Pseudomonadati; Campylobacterota; Epsilonproteobacteria; Campylobacterales; Helicobacteraceae
Description: bacterial SSU rRNA
Rfam family: Bacterial small subunit ribosomal RNA
Source: RNAcentral
AAGUGGAUUAGUGGCGCACGGGUGAGUAAUACAUAGAUAACAUACCCUUUAGUCUGGAAUAGCCACUGGAAACGGUGAUUAAUACUGGAUACUCCCUACGGGGGAAAGUUUUUCGCUAAAGGAUUGGUCUAUGUCCUAUCAGCUUGUUGGUGAGGUAAUGGCUCACCAAGGCUAUGACGGGUAUCCGACCUGAGAGGGUGAACGGACACACUGGAACUGAGACACGGUCCAGACUCCUACGGGAGGCAGCAGUAGGGAAUAUUGCUCAAUGGGGGAACCCUGAAGCAGCAACGCCGCGUGGAGGAUGAAGGUUUUAGGAUUGUAAACUCCUUUUGUUAGAGAAGAUU